UACGUAGGGGGCAAGCGUUGUCCGGAAUCAUUGGGCGUAAAGAGCGUGUAGGCGGCCAGAUAAGUCCGCUGUGAAAUCUCGAGGCUCAACUUCGAGCUGUCGGUGGAAACUGUCUGGCUAGAGUCCGGAAGAGGAGAAUGGAAUUCCUGGUGUAGCGGUGAAAUGCGCAGAUAUCAGAAAGAACACCCGUGGCGAAGGCGGUUCUCUGGGACGGUACUGACGCUGAGACGCGAAAGCGUGGGGAGCGAACAGG
Molecule: ribosomal RNA, 253 nt
Filed under: uncultured bacterium
Lineage: Bacteria
Description: partial 16S ribosomal RNA
Rfam family: Bacterial small subunit ribosomal RNA
Source: RNAcentral